RNAcentral lists this transfer RNA (55 nucleotides) under Diploscapter coronatus. Its description in RNAcentral is "tRNA-Asp". The record is from RNAcentral. Lineage: Eukaryota; Metazoa; Nematoda; Chromadorea; Rhabditida; Rhabditidae.
AAAAUUUUAUUAUAAUUUAGUAUAUUUUAUUGUCUAUAAAAAGGUUAAAAUUUUU